RNAcentral lists this ribosomal RNA (443 nucleotides) under uncultured bacterium. RNAcentral describes it as "partial 16S ribosomal RNA". It matches the Rfam family "Bacterial small subunit ribosomal RNA", at positions 338 to 795 of the family's 1533-position model. The record is from RNAcentral.
CCUACGGGAGGCAGCAGUGGGGAAUAUUGGGCAAUGGGCGCAAGCCUGACCCAGCAACGCCGCGUGAAGGAAGAAGGCCUUCGGGUUGUAAACUUCUUUUGUCAGGGACGAAGCUAGUGACGGUACCUGACGAAUAAGCUACGGCUAACUACGUGCCAGCCGCCGCGGUAAUACGUAGGUGGCAAGCGUUAUCCGGAUUUACUGGGUGCAAAGGGCGUGUAGGCGGGGAAGCAAGUCAGAUGAGAAAUUCCAGGGCUCAACCCUGGAACUGCAUUUGAUACUGGUUUUCUUGAGUGAUGGAGAGGCAAGCGGAAUUCCGUGUGUAGCGGUGAAAUGCGUAGAUAUACGGAGGAACACCAGUGGCGAAGGCGGCCUACUGGACAUUAACUGACGCUGAGGCGCGAAAGCGUGGGGAGCAAACAGGAUUAGAUACCCUAGUAGUC